RNAcentral lists this ribosomal RNA (400 nucleotides) under uncultured bacterium. RNAcentral's name for it is "bacterial SSU rRNA". It matches the Rfam family "Bacterial small subunit ribosomal RNA", at positions 356 to 773 of the family's 1533-position model. The record is from RNAcentral.
GGGGAAUAUUGGACAAUGGGCGAAAGCCUGAUCCAGCAAUGCCGCGUGAGUGAUGAAGGCCUUAGGGUUGUAAAGCUCUUUUACCAGGGAUGAUAAUGACAGUACCUGGAGAAUAAGCUCCGGCUAACUCCGUGCCAGCAGCCGCGGUAAUACGGAGGGAGCUAGCGUUGUUCGGAAUUACUGGGCGUAAAGCGCGCGUAGGCGGCUACUCAAGUCAGAGGUGAAAGCCCGGGGCUCAACCCCGGAACUGCCUUUGAAACUAGGUAGCUAGAAUCUUGGAGAGGUCAGUGGAAUUCCGAGUGUAGAGGUGAAAUUCGUAGAUAUUCGGAAGUACACCAGUGGCGAAGGCGACUGACUGGACAAGUAUUGACGCUGAGGUGCGAAAGCGUGGGGAGCAAAC